UACGUAGGGCGCGAGCGUUGUCCGGAAUUAUUGGGCGUAAAGAGCUCGUAGGCGGUUUGUUGCGCCUGCUGUGAAAGACCGGGGCUUAACUUCGGGGUUGCAGUGGGUACGGGCAGACUAGAGUGUGGUAGGGGUAAUUGGAAUUCCUGGUGUAGCGGUGGAAUGCGCAGAUAUCAGGAGGAACACCGAUGGCGAAGGCAGGUUACUGGGCCACCACUGACGCUGAGGAGCGAAAGCGUGGGUAGCGAACAGG
RNAcentral lists this ribosomal RNA (253 nucleotides) under uncultured bacterium. RNAcentral's name for it is "partial 16S ribosomal RNA". It matches the Rfam family "Bacterial small subunit ribosomal RNA", at positions 524 to 776 of the family's 1533-position model. The record is from RNAcentral.